AGUCUUUUUCAGAAGAUGUGCCCAUGAGCAGUUGCAUUAGAUAAAAUAAGAGAGCAGCAUCUCAUUGUAUAGAAGGACAGGACAGUCCCCCUAAGGACCUGCAUAGCCCUACUACAGAACUGGCUGGCACAGCACAGAGCAAGUCCCAGGGAUUUGAAAGCAGAUGAAAGAUUUCACCAUCUGCUGCUGAAGUGGGAGCACGAGGAAUCUGCCUGGCUCAGAUCUCCCCUGAUCAUUUUGCUGAAGAAGGUCAUAAUUCUGCUGAUGUCUGGACUGUGCUAGCCACCUCUUGCAAGCAUUUAUCUAAACUUCCAUCACUGAAAGCUAAGCUAAAGCUUAGACCAUUGGUGUAAUGAAUGAAUGGUCAACUCGGUGUUAUCCUGGGUAUUUGGUGGCUCCUACUGGAUUCCAUGGAUAUCAGCAUCUGAACUGGAUAUUCGCCUGGAAGCAACAAGUUCCCUCCAAGUUCGCAAAAACUUCUUGUAUGACUGUGAUCCAGUACAUGGAUCCAGGACACCACAUCUCUUGGUACAUGGGAAAUACUGAAAGGUGUGUAAGCUGUUGUGGCCUUGUCUACCAGAACAACCGUUGGACUGUUCAACCUUCAAAAGCUAUCACCAACUCAUCAUGCUGCUGUGGUGAUGACAGCAGGACCAUUUCCAGGGGAUGUCUCUUCUCAAGUGGUCUACUCCAAAUGUGGUCAGAAGGCUGUCAAGUUACUAUUGAAAGCUUGAAGGCAUUCCUGUGAGAACAGGAGGGACAAGGGGAUAAGUGAUGAUGGUAUGUCCUUACUUCACUGACAGUUUAAAUUCUGUAGCAUUAGACCUUGGCAAGUGCUAUGGCCAAGGAAAUGUUUGCUGGCACUAAUGUUCUCCUAAAUUCUGAUCAACAACCUUAUUGCCUGUGCUGUUAACAUGUGGGAGCUCAUGGGUCAGCAGGGCUGGACCUAUUCAGACCCCGAGUAUUUGCUGAGGUGCUGUAGCAGCCAGCGAUAAACUAGGCAGUUUUCCAGUGUGUAACCAGUAUCCCAUGACAGUUCCUUUGGUCAGGCUGAUGGGAUGCAGCUAAAUUCUUGGUUUUACUGUAAUUUAAAAAAAAAAAACAACAAACAAAACAAGGAGUAAUUCACAAAAGCAUCUAGGUCCAAUUAAAUAUGUUUGUAUUCAAGUCCUUCUUCAUUUUUAAUUAUUUGUCUUCAAUUACUGUGCAGUUGUUGUAUGCAUUGUUCUGCAGAGGUGAAUUUCUGUAGUUUGUCAGCUGAUCCUUUUUUUCCCUUGCCUAUAUUAGCCAACAGAGAUUUUCUGCUUAAUUAUUUAACAUUUGCAAAACUCUUCUGAGCUCUUUGAAGCACAAAAACUGCCAGUAACUUCAAGCCGUGGCUGCUAUGGUCUACAGUGUUUCUGAAGUGUAUGCUACUUGUUUUUUUACUAUUCAGGACAACUGAAGAUCAUAUGAAACUUUAUUUGGGAGAUGCUAGCCACGGUGCUUUGCUUAUAAUUAGUCAGCAAGCAACAUUUCUGCAGGAAAUGUCAAAUUGUGCAAGAUUUGACUUU
This is a long non-coding RNA of Anas platyrhynchos (mallard), 1553 nucleotides long. RefSeq lists it as uncharacterized. The record is from RefSeq and is a predicted model, not a curated record. NCBI's taxonomy places the organism in Eukaryota, Metazoa, Chordata, Aves, Anseriformes, Anatidae.